Molecule: ribosomal RNA, 263 nt
Filed under: Aedes japonicus
Lineage: Eukaryota; Metazoa; Arthropoda; Insecta; Diptera; Culicidae
Description: partial large subunit ribosomal RNA
Rfam family: Bacterial large subunit ribosomal RNA (bases 1-176)
Source: RNAcentral
UUAGGGAUAACAGCGUAAUUUUUUUUUAGAGUUCAUAUCGACAAAAAAGAUUGCGACCUCGAUGUUGGAUUAAGAGUUAUUUUUAGGUGUAGAAGUUUAAAGUUUAGAUCUGUUCGACCUUUGAAUUCUUACAUGAUCUGAGUUCAAACCGGCGUGAGCCAGGUUGGUUUCUAUCCUUAAUAAAAUUAUUAUAUUAUAGUACGAAAGGACCUAGUAUAAAAAAUAUAGAUUUUAAAGUUAUGAAUAAUAUUAAUAUUUAAUAA